Molecule: ribosomal RNA, 429 nt
Filed under: Gemmatimonadota bacterium
Lineage: Bacteria; Pseudomonadati; Gemmatimonadota
Description: Gemmatimonadetes bacterium partial 16S ribosomal RNA
Rfam family: Bacterial small subunit ribosomal RNA
Source: RNAcentral
UAGGGAAUCUUCGGCAAUGGACGAAAGUCUGACCGAGCAACGCCGCGUGAGUGAAGAAGGUUUUCGGAUCGUAAAACUCUGUUGUUAGAGAAGAAAAAGGACGUUAGUAACUGAACGUCCCCUGACGGUAUCUAACCAGAAAGCCACGGCUAACUAAGUGCCAGCAGCCGCGGUAAUACGUAGGUGGCAAGCGUUGUCCGGAUUUAUUGGGCGUAAAGCGAGCGCAGGCGGUUUCUUAAGUCUGAUGUGAAAGCCCCCGGCUCAACCGGGGAGGGUCAUUGGAAACUGGGAGACUUGAGUACAGAAGAGGAGAGUGGAAUUCCAUGUGUGGCGGUGAAAUGCGUAGAUAUAUGGAGGAACACCAGUGGCGAAGGCGGCUCUCUGGUCUGUAACUGACGCUGAGGCGCGAAAGCGUGGGGAGCAAACAGG